CGAUCAUCUGUAUUAUAUUGUAAUAUGACUCACAAUGAUGAUUUAUGGCGUCUGGCCAAGUUCUCGGCGAUCUCAUUUAGUGACUGCAGGUUGCACCGAACGAUGGUCUCCACAAACACACACGUAUCCUCCUUCGUGUUGCCAGGAGGAAUAUCCACUACGUAAGAUUCCACUACUACGGUGCCGUUACCCGCGGGAGAAGGGUGGAGGGUUGUGACAGACUUGUAAUUCACCAGCCGAUGGUCCCCACCAACCACGCUGAAGCUGAUAACGUGGCGCUCGUCGUCCAGGAUCUCGAGACGCUCCGUGCUGUUAGCUGCAGGAAGUCCCGAGACCACGUGGACCUCUCGGAGGGUACCUACGUCUCCAUCUCCGACAAUAACGUGACAGCUCUUUACAAAGUGCUUGUAAGCUUGAGGGUUAUCGAAUCGUCUGACUACGGACCACACAGUGGAGACAGGGGCAGCGAUAUGCUGUACCGCGGCGGAGCAGCACUGGUUGGGGCCUACGACAUGGGUGUGAUAACGUGCGACGGUUUCUGGGACCGGGGUGGCGCAUGAUAGAGGGGACCACCGCUUCUGGCAGGCGGCUGUGUUGGUGGUGAUGGAUGCGGGGCUGUUAAUCCGAUGGAGCAUGAGUGAGGAUUUAGGAGUAUUAGAAGGCAUUUCUUGUGGGUGGCGAUCUAUAAUGGGGAGAGAUUGGUUUUAGGUUUGAGUAGAGGUUUACUAACUUUUGGCUCUGUAUGCAUAUAUCGCAGAGAGAGAAGGGAAAAGCUGGGGGAUGAUCACUUUCCAAAUAGACUAGAAAGAGGUGAAUGUUGUUGUCAGUGGGCG
Molecule: unclassified non-coding RNA, 833 nt
Filed under: Hevea brasiliensis (rubber tree)
Lineage: Eukaryota; Viridiplantae; Streptophyta; Magnoliopsida; Malpighiales; Euphorbiaceae
Source: RNAcentral